CCUACGGGAGGCAGCAGUGGGGGAUAUUGCACAAUGGGGGAAACCCUGAUGCAGCGACGCCGCGUGAGUGAAGAAGUAGUUAGGUAUGUAAAGCUCUAUCAGCAAGGAAGAAAAUGACAGUACCUGACCAAGAAGCCCCGGCUAACUACGUGCCAGCAGCGGCGAGAAUACGUAGGGGGCAGGCGUUAUCCGGAUUUAAGGGGUGUAAAGGGAGCGUAGACGGUUCUGUAAGUCUGGAGGGAAAGCCCGGGGGCCAACCCCCGGACUGCUUUGGAAACUGUGUAACUGGAGUACAGGAGGGGCAGGCGGAAUUCGUGGUGUAGCGGUGAAAUGCGUAGAUAUCAGGAGGAACACCGGCGGCGAAGGCAGCCUGCUGGACUGAAACUGACGUUGAGGCUCGAAAGCGUGGGGAGCGAACAGGAUUAGAUACCCUUGUAGUC
RNAcentral lists this ribosomal RNA (440 nucleotides) under uncultured bacterium. RNAcentral's name for it is "partial 16S ribosomal RNA". It matches the Rfam family "Bacterial small subunit ribosomal RNA", at positions 338 to 795 of the family's 1533-position model. The record is from RNAcentral.